Molecule: long non-coding RNA, 769 nt
Organism: Lucilia cuprina (Australian sheep blowfly)
Lineage: Eukaryota; Metazoa; Arthropoda; Insecta; Diptera; Calliphoridae
Exons: 3
Source: RefSeq, a predicted model, not a curated record
CAUUUAAAUGUUUUUGUUUCAACUGUGUAAAAAUCAUUCUCGUUUGAGUAACAAAACGUCUAAAACCGCAUAAACGUGCUCUACUAAAUAUAUAUAUAAAAUAAAACUAUAAAAUACAAAAAUAAAUUUGGAUAAAACACAGAGUCGCGUCAGAACAAAAAGAAAAAACUGUAUUCCUAUAACUUGCUAAAAUACAGAAAACAUCUUUUUUCGGUUUUUUAAUAAAAAAAAGAAAAAUUACUCAGAAAAAAAAACUUUAAAACUAAAAAGUGUUUUAAAAGUGCAAACAAAAAUAAGAAAAACUAAUAGGUUUUGUUAAAACAAACAUGAUACUUCUCUUUAUGACCUCAUAUAAACAGUUAUGCUUUUCUAAACGCCAGAUAAACAACAUCUUAACAACGUUUUACUCAACAUAACAAAGAAAUUUGUUAAUUUAAAAAGCCAAAAACAAAAAAAAAAAAAUUACAAAUUAAAAACAAAAUCCAAUAAAAUUUUUAUUAUUAAUCGCAUUUUUACCGCUAAAUUAUUUUUAAACCAUAAUUAUUAUAAUUAUUAAAUAUUAGGAUUUUUUUCCAUAUUUCAGUUUAACGCAUUUUUUUUUCGUCUUAGAGAAACUCAUAAGAUUUAAACUAGUUACUUGUUAUAUUUAUUUUUUUAAUUUUAAAUUUAAAAUAAUUUUUUUUUCAAACUUGAAAAAAAUUUCCUAAAAAGAGGCUUUUUUUCUUAUACUUUCUCAAUAAGAACUUCUAAACAUUAGUAUUAUUUAUUU